GAUGAACGCUGGCGGCGUGCCUAAUACAUGCAAGUCGAGCGAACAGACGAGGAGCUUGCUCCUUUGACGUUAGCGGCGGACGGGUGAGUAACACGUAGGUAACCUACCUAUAAGACUGGGAUAACUUCGGGAAACCGGAGCUAAUACCGGAUAAUAUUUCGCACCGCAUGGUUCGAUAGUGCAAGAUGGCUUUGCUAUCACUUAUAGAUGGACCUGCGCCGUAUUAGCUAGUUGGUAAGGUAACGGCUUACCAAGGCAACGAUACGUAGCCGACCUGAGAGGUUGAUCGGCCACACUGGAACUGAGACACGGUCCAGACUCCUACGGGAGGCAGCAGUAGGGAAUCUUCCGCAAUGGGCGAAAGCCUGACGGAGCAACGCCGCGUGAGUGAUGAAGGUCUUCGGAUCGUAAAACCCUGUUAUUAGGGAAGAACAAACGUGUAAGUAACUGUGCACGUCUUGACGGUACCUAAUCAGAAAGCCACGGCUAACUACGUG
RNAcentral lists this ribosomal RNA (497 nucleotides) under uncultured bacterium. Its description in RNAcentral is "partial 16S ribosomal RNA". It matches the Rfam family "Bacterial small subunit ribosomal RNA", at positions 28 to 507 of the family's 1533-position model. The record is from RNAcentral.